This 161-nucleotide ribosomal RNA is filed under the name Scorzonera ahmet-duranii. RNAcentral's name for it is "5.8S ribosomal RNA". It matches the Rfam family "5.8S ribosomal RNA". From Rfam's summary of the family: 5.8S ribosomal RNA (5.8S rRNA) is a component of the large subunit of the eukaryotic ribosome. It is transcribed by RNA polymerase I as part of the 45S precursor that also contains 18S and 28S rRNA. Lineage: Eukaryota; Viridiplantae; Streptophyta; Magnoliopsida; Asterales; Asteraceae. The record is from RNAcentral.
AAAAGACUUUUGGGAACGAAUAUCUUUGAUCAAGCAUAGGGGAAGAAGGAAUCAAAAAUUCAUACCAGGUGUGACAUGCAGAAUCCUUUGUACCAUAGAGUUGAGGAAAGCAAUUUGUGCCCAAAACCAUCUGGUGGAGGGCAGAUGCCCCUGGGCGUCAG